GAUGAACGCUGGCGGCGUGCCUAACACAUGCAAGUCGAACGGAGUCCAGCCUUAGAGACCUUCGGGUCAAAGAGGGGAAGACUGAGUGGCGGACGGGUGAGUAACACGUGGGCAACCUGGCUCAUAGAGGGGGAUAACAGAGAGAAAUUUCUGCUAAUACCGCAUAAGCACACACUGCCGCAUGGCAGAGUGUGAAAAGAGAAUCGCUAUGAGAUGGACCCGCGUCUGAUUAGCCAGUUGGCAGGGUAAGAGCCUACCAAAGCGACGAUCAGUAGCCGAUUUGAGAGGAUGAACGGCCACAUUGGGACUGAGACACGGCCCAAACUCCUACGGGAGGCAGCAGUGGGGGAUAUUGCACAAUGGGGGGAACCCUGAUGCAGCGACGCCGCGUGAGUGAAGAAGUAUUUCGGUAUGUAAAGCUCUAUCAGCAGGGAAGAUAAUGACAGUACCUGAAGAAGAAGCCCCGGCUAAUUACGUG
Molecule: ribosomal RNA, 478 nt
Filed under: uncultured bacterium
Lineage: Bacteria
Description: partial 16S ribosomal RNA
Rfam family: Bacterial small subunit ribosomal RNA
Source: RNAcentral